This 492-nucleotide ribosomal RNA is filed under the name uncultured bacterium. RNAcentral describes it as "partial 16S ribosomal RNA". It matches the Rfam family "Bacterial small subunit ribosomal RNA", at positions 29 to 507 of the family's 1533-position model. The record is from RNAcentral.
AGUGAACGCUGGCGGUAGGCCUAACACAUGCAAGUCGAACGGCAGCUCAGUAAGAGCUUGCUCUUACGGGUGGCGAGUGGCGGACGGGUGAGGAAUACAUCGGAAUCUACUUUUUCGUGGGGGAUAACGUAGGGAAACUUACGCUAAUACCGCAUACGACCUACGGGUGAAAGCAGGGGAUCUUCGGACCUUGCGCGAUUGAAUGAGCCGAUGUCGGAUUAGCUAGUUGGCGGGGUAAAGGCCCACCAAGGCGACGAUCCGUAGCUGGUCUGAGAGGAUGAUCAGCCACACUGGAACUGAGACACGGUCCAGACUCCUACGGGAGGCAGCAGUGGGGAAUAUUGGACAAAGGGCGCAAGCCUGAUCCAGCCAUACCGCGUGGGUGAAGAAGGCCUUCGGGUUGUAAAGCCCUUUUGUUGGGAAAGAAAAGCAGCAGGUUAAUACCCCGCUGUUCUGACGGUACCCAAAGAAUAAGCACCGGCUAACUUCGUG